AAGGUCCACACUUUUGGCUGACAGCUGAAGAGGAGCCUUCUCUUUCUUUCCCCCAUUGUUCCAUGUGUGGAGCUGUGAUGAAGAGUUGCGCACAAAGAGUAACCUAUAAACUGCGAAUCUGUUCUCUGCAUUUUACUUCAUCUUUAAAUAUCUACUGUUUGAAUUUAGAAUAUCCUCCCUGGUUUUCCUGUUACUGGUAAGAUGACAACCACACUGGUCCUGAGAAGGAAUAGGAAAGCAAUUUACAUUUUGCAG
Poecile atricapillus (Black-capped chickadee) is the source of this 255-nucleotide long non-coding RNA. RefSeq lists it as uncharacterized. Lineage: Eukaryota; Metazoa; Chordata; Aves; Passeriformes; Paridae. The record is from RefSeq and is a predicted model, not a curated record. The transcript has 3 exons.